UACGGAGGAUCCAAGCGUUAUCCGGAUUUACUGGGUUUAAAGGGAGCGUAGGUUGACAUAUAAGUCAGCUGUGAAAGUUUACGGCUCAACCGUGAAAUUGCAGUUGAUACUGUAUGUCUUGAGUGUACAAGAGGUGGGCGGAAUUCGUGGUGUAGUGGUGAAAUGCUUAGAUAUCACGAAGAACUCCAAUUGCGAAGGCAGCUCACUGGGGUACAACUGACACUGAGGCUCGAAAGUGUGGGUAUCAAACAGGAUUAGAUACCCUGGUAGUCCACACAGUAAACGAUGAAUACUCGCUGUUUGCGAUAUACAGUAAGCGGCCAAGCGAAAGCAUUAAGUAUUCCACCUGGGGAGUACGCCGGCAACGGUGA
RNAcentral lists this ribosomal RNA (371 nucleotides) under uncultured bacterium. Its description in RNAcentral is "bacterial SSU rRNA". It matches the Rfam family "Bacterial small subunit ribosomal RNA", at positions 524 to 897 of the family's 1533-position model. The record is from RNAcentral.